RNAcentral lists this long non-coding RNA (2883 nucleotides) under Homo sapiens (human). Its description in RNAcentral is "HSALNT0366346". The record is from RNAcentral. Lineage: Eukaryota; Metazoa; Chordata; Mammalia; Primates; Hominidae.
UGUUCGUGGCGCCCCGAAAGUAAUGACGCUCACUUCCCCACCGGUGGAUACAUUCGAGGAGAGGAUAGGGGGAGGGGGUCAAAAUCUCUUAUUUGGAGAUAAUUUUAGCUGCCCGUUAGACCUCACUUGCUCCGAGCCGUUCUCUCUAAAUUUACCAAGUUAAGUCAUCUUGAUUUCGCCCAUUUGCCAUCGAGAGAAGGGGGAAAAAUACCACUUAGUGAUCAACGAGAAAUCGAGAGCCCGGAAGCAGAGUUUUGCCCACUUGCCCGCUUCCCGAGUCCUUGCGUGGUGGACCUCCGCUCCAAGCCCCUCAUCCCUUCCUCCCUGCCACUUCAGCCGCUCCUCACAUCAUCUCCUGCCAGGACCUUUUGACUCACGCGCGACUGGGAAGGGCAGCGAGUAUCCCGUUUCCUCCCUGCCCUGUCGUUCGAGGUGUCUAAUAAGCAAGCCGUUCCGCGUUUCGGUUAGGGCCCAGGUUCAAAAAAUCCAAAUACCUUGAAAUUGCUUGAGAAUUUGGUUAAACAUCGGAACUGCACCCACCAGUUCAGGACCAACCGGCCGCAGAGAGUAGCUGGGGGGUUGGAUGGGGAGGUGGGAAGGGAGGGGGGAGUCUGGGGGCUGCGUACUAGAUAGAUUGUACCUGCCUCAUCAUUAUCCUGGCUGAUGGGGGUUGCCACAUCGAAAACCGCCAGAAGCGCCCACCGAGGCCCAGGGGCGUCACCUCCUGCGGUCCCUCGCAAGGGUAGGGUAGUCCUUCAGUGGCUCCCCUCGUGCCAAAAUAUCGACGUCUUCCUCAGGGCCAGAAGAGGCUGCCGAGUCGUUCCCUCCACCCAGCCACACAGCACCAUGAAGAAAUACCAUUGGUAUGGAUAGCAAAAGCAAAGAUCAGGACUGGAAAGUAAGCUGGCUGCGAGCUUGUGCCCUGUACAUAGGCCUGGUUAAGGAAGCAUCCAGGAUGAGAUCUUUUAGGAUUCACUAGGUAGGUGCUCCUCUCCAAGUUGACUUCGUGGCCAUGACUUUGGCUGCCCAUCUGUCGACUGUAUUUUUAGGUUGCUGAACUUUCUUCUUCUCCCUGCUGCAUCUGAGAGUAAGGCCCUGACUCCUGGAAGUGAUUUCUGAGAGCAGGAAUCAGAUCUUGUUUUUGAAAACCCCCUUUAAAACUCUCUCCUAAAGCAAAUUUCCAGAGCGUGCCUUCUGGUUACCCUUAUCUUUUGCAAUAGCACCACUCUGUGGUUGGAACACUGAACAGAAACAAAACGGCAACGUGGGAUUGAAUUUUGCCUUUAUCUUGUGAAAACAGCACUUAUCUCCCUAUGUUUGAGCUCAGUGGACUGAAUGCUGGUGGUGGGGGCUCAGCGUGUGGUGAGGGAGGGGGUCUUGUGCAGUGGCAGUAUGUGGUUAAUUCAUUGUGACAUGUUGACCCAGGAAAUGAGAGAAGUGGACCGAAUGGCCUCCAAGGACCCUUUCCGUGUCAAAGACAAGCUUGUUUUUUUUCCCCAUGAUCGUGUAGCUAGCCUUGAAUGUCUGUCCUCUUCCACUGCUUUUCUUUUUCUCUCUUUUGAGGUUACUAAAAUAAACACCACACUUCUCACUGAUCCUGAAGUAUUUGCAAGUUGCAUCUUCUGCUGCUGGAGGGCGCUGUGGGGAGGUCUCGCCCUACCCCCUCCAUCCCCACCCCCAUCCACCCAGACAGCUGCUAGAGCUGAUGGAGUCUGGAAGUCUUCGUUUUUCAAACAAUUAAAGUGAAUGCAAAAGGUGUUUGCACAGGGACUGGGAGCUUAAGGGUCAGGAAAGGCGGCUUCAUGCUACCUUUGUGCCUCCGCACUUGAAAGAUUCCUGGCUGCCCACCCGUUUCUAUAUACUGGCAACAGCAUUAUUCACCAAGAGCUACAGGCUGUCAAGCCAUAUAGCAAUUCCUCUCAGAUGACCUGGAGUCACCUGUGAGACAUUCUUCUUUUCUUUCAAUUCGCAUGCACUUGUCCACAGAAACUGAGUGGCUUGUUUAUGUUUAUUUAACAAGACCAGGUCUUCCCCCAAAUUUCUGUCAUUUUAAGAAAGCACAGCUUUGCUCUAAGGACUAGCAUUGAUCUCUCUACACAGAAUACAGACAUCAGAGAUAAACUUCUAUCAGCCCCUAUGUCCCCCACUCUGCAUUUAAUAACUGAGGAAACUCAGAAUAACAAAAAACAAAAACAAAAACAUAAUGACAGACCACGACCUAGAAUUUACUGCCAGAGUAGAUUUUGGUGCCUGAGAAAAGCAGGUUCCCCUCUACCUUCUCCACUCAGUAGCCAUGUGCUUUUGUACAGGUUUCUUAACUUCUUAGAACCCAUCUGCAAUUGGUGAAGACAACACCAAUCUCAUAGAAGUAAUAUGAGGACCAAAGGAACUAAUUAAUUUAAAACAUUCAACACAGUGCCUGGCACAAUGUGAAUGCCAGUCCCGAUCUGCUAGUCCUUACACAGGAAACACUGUCACACCACUGGGGGAAUGAGCUAUCUUUAGAAAGAAGCUUGGCUCUGGAAUGGCCUGUGUAUUAUUAUUUGUAUGCCACUACACAUUUCAUUAAUGUAAUUUUAUGGAUGUAUAUUUUCCCCUUUGGACAAAUACAGAAAUAAAUCAGCAGAAUGAAGUAGUGGACAUAUUUAGAAUUUAUAUAGCUUCCCAACGUGGACCUCAAUGUGCAUGAAAGACAGAAUUGAAGGAUUUCAAAAUCUCGUCUUAUUCAUUCUCUGCCUUUCACCCAGAACCACCUCAUCAUUUAAAAGGAAAUUCCACCAUAUCCUUCAACUCUUAACAGAUUGCCUGGUAUAUUAUUGGUUUGUUGUUAUUGCUAAUUAUGUUCUAGGGCUUACAUUGAACAAUAUAAUGAAUUGCAUUGAA